AGACACUGUGUACUCAGGCUCCUCCCUCACUGAGGUGGAAUCACUAACAGACACUGUGUACUCAGGCUCCUCCCUCACUGAGGUGGAAUCACUAACAGACACUGUGUACUCAGGCUCCUCCCUCACCGAGGUGGAAUCACUAACAGUCACUGUGUACUCAGGCUCCUCCCUCACUGAGGUGGAAUCACUAACAGACACUGUGUACUCAGGCUCCUCCCUCACCGAGGUGGAAUCACUAACAGACACUGUGUACUCAGGCUCCUCCCUCACUGAGGUGGAAUCACUAACAGACACUGUGUACUCAGGCUCCUCCCUCACUGAGGUGGAAUCACUAACAGACACUGUGUACUCAGGCUCCUCCAUCACUGAGCAGGUAGGCGUGAGGAUCUCGUGUGUAUUGUGAUGGGAUUUUAUAUUGUGAUAAGAUGUUUUCUGGGUGUUUUUCUGGUUGUAUAGAGCUCCCCUCUAUUGGGUCACUGUCAGGGGAAACGUACAGUAUUUCGGUUGGCAAAAUGUUCCUUUUCUCCUUUCUUCUUCGCUGGCAAAACCAAAUAAAAGGGGACGCAGUGUUAUUGAGGCCCUGUUUUUUUUCUAUAAUCUACUAUAGGCCUAUAAAUUAAAACGAUAGAGAGCAAUAUUAAUGGCGUCUUUUUGAGGGCGCUAAAGGAGGCUAACUCCACCUUGUUUGACAAAUUAAUGUUUUUUUUUGUUGUUGUUGGUUGUUUGUUGGUUUGGGAUAUUAAAUGGUCAAAAUAAGGCAUGUGGUAAACACAGACUUAGGCGAUUUUAUACAUUUAGUUCUAUGAGAUCAUCUUCGUCAGCUAACAUCACUUUUUUUGUGAAUUUUGAAGCAUUUAUGUACUCAAAACAAGUGAAAAGCUACCGAUGUGCUAACAUGUAAAAAAUAAAUAAAUGAAACUACACGUCAGGUUGCCUUUGACGUCUCCAACGAAGCUCGAGAACUCCUAACACUUGGCUGUUGUAGUUCCAUUUCUGACAGCUAGCGACUCUUUAGCAACGGACUCAUUUUGAUUCAUAGAGGUCAUGUUAACUGACUGAUUCUGGUGUUAACCUCAAACCUUAUUGCCCCGUUUAUUUCACCCAUAGGAAUGUCUGCACGAUCCAGAUGUAGAAACUAACAACUCAUUAAAUUAUUUUUUUAUGGCUUCGAGCUAGCGAGUUCUGUAAGUGAUAUUAUUUUCACGUGACUUCAGACGUCACGUGACUUCAGACGUCACGUGACUUCAGACGUCACGUGACUUCAGACGUCACGUGACUUCAGACGUCACGUGACUUCAGACGUCACAUGCUAAAGGUGCUGGUAUUUAUUCUCCUUUUCUGAUGUUUUUAUCUUCCU
Long non-coding RNA from Oncorhynchus tshawytscha (Chinook salmon), 1357 nucleotides. Lineage: Eukaryota; Metazoa; Chordata; Actinopteri; Salmoniformes; Salmonidae. The record is from Ensembl.